CUUACCUUGUUUUGCUGGAAAUCCGGACUUAUAUUUAUUGACAUCACAUAAUUACGCUUGAACUUUGAUAGUAUAUAAAUAUCGAAUGGUCACAAUACUUUAAACAUAUGCGUACUAAAGGUGAUUUUUUAAAGUCGAAAAGAAAAUAAUGGACAAAUGUAAAGGAACAAUCGCGUUUUUACUGCUAUGCAGUUCGUUAUUACAGCAAAGCGAAGCAGCUGUAUGUGGAACAAGAUGGUAUAAUCCAAGUUUCAAGACGUGCUGUAACGGAGUAUUGAAUACUUUUAGGCAACGUGGAUGUUGUGGGACCGUUGCGUAUAACCCAGAUUUCAAAACUUGUUGUAAUGGCGUAUUGAAUACUUUCAAGCAACGUGGAUGCUGUGGGACCAUUGCGUAUAACCCAGAUUUCAAAACUUGUUGUAAUGGAGUAUUGAAUACUUUCAGGCAACGUGCAUGUUGUGGAACUGUUGCCUAUAAUCCGUCUUUCAAAAGAUGUUGUAACGGUGUGUUUUGCUAGACAAUAAACAGUUGUCAACCAUCCUUUCUAUCUUCCAAAUGAGAAUAACGACCUACAAGAUACACAUGAUACAUUUAACAUUAACCUAACUGUUUGGAAUUCAGAACAAUAAACUCGUUGAAUGAUAUGUAAUACAUGAAAAAAUUUGUCCUUUGAAUAGCCUAAUAUUUUAUUUCUUUCAUGAAAUGUAAUUUCUUUCAAUAAGUCUUAUUAUUUUGACU
Molecule: long non-coding RNA, 738 nt
Organism: Mytilus trossulus (common blue mussel)
Lineage: Eukaryota; Metazoa; Mollusca; Bivalvia; Mytilida; Mytilidae
Exons: 3
Source: RefSeq, a predicted model, not a curated record